AUUGAACGCUGGCGGCAUGCUUUACACAUGCAAGUCGAACGGUAACAGGUCUUCGGAUGCUGACGAGUGGCGAACGGGUGAGUAAUACAUCGGAACGUGCCUAGUAGUGGGGGAUAACUACUCGAAAGAGUAGCUAAUACCGCAUACGAUCUCUGGAUGAAAGCAGGGGACCUUCGGGCCUUGUGCUACUAGAGCGGCCGAUGGCAGAUUAGGUAGUUGGUGGGGUAAAGGCUUACCAAGCCUGCGAUCUGUAGCUGGUCUGAGAGGACGACCAGCCACACUGGGACUGAGACACGGCCCAGACUCCUACGGGAGGCAGCAGUGGGGAAUUUUGGACAAUGGGCGCAAGCCUGAUCCAGCAAUGCCGCGUGCAGGAUGAAGGCCUUCGGGUUGUAAACUGCUUUUGUACGGAACGAAAAGCCUGGGGCUAAUAUCCCUGGGUCAUGACGGUACCGUAAGAAUAAGCACCGGCUAACUACGUG
This 482-nucleotide ribosomal RNA is filed under the name uncultured organism. RNAcentral's name for it is "bacterial SSU rRNA". It matches the Rfam family "Bacterial small subunit ribosomal RNA", at positions 30 to 507 of the family's 1533-position model. The record is from RNAcentral.